UGUGUCCUUCGGGAGAAAGAUUUAUCGGCAAGAGAUGAGCCCGCGUUGGAUUAGCUAGUUGGUGGGGUAAAGGCCUACCAAGGCGACGAUCCAUAGCUGGUCUGAGAGGAUGAUCAGCCACAUUGGGACUGAGACACGGCCCAAACUCCUACGGGAGGCAGCAGUGGGGAAUAUUGGACAAUGGGCGCAAGCCUGAUCCAGCCAUGCCGCGUGAGUGAUGAAGGCCCUAGGGUUGUAAAGCUCUUUCACCGGAGAAGAUAAUGACGGUAUCCGGAGAAGAAGCCCCGGCUAACUUCGUGCCAGCAGCCGCGGUAAUACGAAGGGGGCUAGCGUUGUUCGGAAUUACUGGGCGUAAAGCGCACGUAGGCGGAUCGAUCAGUCAGGGGUGAAAUCCCAGGGCUCAACCCUGGAACUGCCUUUGAUACUGUCGAUCUGGAGUAUGGAAGAGGUGAGUGGAAUUCCGAGUGUAGAGGUGAAAUUCGUAGAUAUUCGGAGGAACACCAGUGGCGAAGGCGGCUCACUGGU
This 525-nucleotide ribosomal RNA is filed under the name Rhizobium sp. Its description in RNAcentral is "bacterial SSU rRNA". It matches the Rfam family "Bacterial small subunit ribosomal RNA", at positions 188 to 733 of the family's 1533-position model. Lineage: Bacteria; Pseudomonadati; Pseudomonadota; Alphaproteobacteria; Hyphomicrobiales; Rhizobiaceae. The record is from RNAcentral.